CCUACGGGUGGCAGCAGUAAGGAAUAUUGCUCAAUGGGGGAAACCCUGAACCAGCCACGCCGCGUGAAGGAUGACUGCUUUACGGGUUUUAAAUCCUUUUUUUAAAGGAAUUAAUUGCGGUACCUCUGCAUUAAUCUCCGUCUAUCUCCGUUCCAGCAGCCGUGGUAAUACGGAGGGUGCCAGCGUUAUUCGGAGUCACUGGGCGUAAAGAGUGCGUAGUCGGGCUUGUAAGUCAGUUGUGAAAUCCUUCAGCUUAACCACAGAACUGCAUUUGAAACUGUGAGUCUAGAGUGUAGGAGAGGUAGGUGGAAUUCUUGGUGUAGGGGUGAAAUGCGUAGAUAUCAAGAAGAAUACUGAUUGCGAAGGCGGCUUACUAGA
RNAcentral lists this ribosomal RNA (378 nucleotides) under uncultured bacterium. Its description in RNAcentral is "partial 16S ribosomal RNA". It matches the Rfam family "Bacterial small subunit ribosomal RNA", at positions 338 to 733 of the family's 1533-position model. The record is from RNAcentral.